CCCUGCCAUUUGUACACACCGCCCGUCGCUCCUACCGAUUGAAUGUUCCGGUGAACACUCGGGAAUCGUGAUCUUGUUCAUGGCAACAUGUCGAGAUCAAUCGGUGAACUUGUGUAAACCUUAACAUUUAGAGGAAGGAGAAGUCGUAACAAG
Molecule: ribosomal RNA, 153 nt
Filed under: uncultured eukaryote
Lineage: Eukaryota
Description: partial small subunit ribosomal RNA
Rfam family: Eukaryotic small subunit ribosomal RNA
Source: RNAcentral